AACAGGUACUCUCCUGUGUUCCAAAGGUGGUCCUGGAUGGGCUGAAAGGGAAUGACACCGGACCAAUAGUAAAUCCCGAAAAUGACAGAUUUACAGCUUCACAAACUGAUCUCGAGUCACAAGCUGUUGCAGAUGAAGAGGUAGUAUCCAAACCAAAGAAAAAAAAGCAGAAGACCAGUGUUGAAUCAUGCCAAUGCUCUGCAGAACUGCUUGAAAUUCAAAAGAAACUUCUUGAAGAGGCUGUGAGAAGUAAUGCAUUGAAUCAGGAGAGAAAC
Molecule: long non-coding RNA, 275 nt
Organism: Dreissena polymorpha
Lineage: Eukaryota; Metazoa; Mollusca; Bivalvia; Myida; Dreissenidae
Exons: 4
Source: RefSeq, a predicted model, not a curated record